RNAcentral lists this ribosomal RNA (249 nucleotides) under uncultured bacterium. RNAcentral describes it as "partial 16S ribosomal RNA". It matches the Rfam family "Bacterial small subunit ribosomal RNA", at positions 524 to 774 of the family's 1533-position model. The record is from RNAcentral.
UACGAAGGGGGCUAGCGUUGCUCGGAAUUACUGGGCGUAAAGCGCACGUAGGCGGUCUUUAAGUCGGGGUGAAAUCCUGGAGCUCAACCCCAGAACUGCCUUCGAUACUGGAAGACUUGAGUCCGGGAGAGGUGAGUGGAACUGCGAGUGUAGAGGUGAAAUUCGUAGAUAUUCGCAAGAACACCAGUGGCGAAGGCGGCUCACUGGCCCGGUACUGACGCUGAGGUGCGAAAGCGUGGGGAGCAAACA